Long non-coding RNA from Rosa rugosa (rugosa rose), 300 nucleotides. RefSeq lists it as uncharacterized. NCBI's taxonomy places the organism in Eukaryota, Viridiplantae, Streptophyta, Magnoliopsida, Rosales, Rosaceae. The transcript has 3 exons. The record is from RefSeq and is a predicted model, not a curated record.
GUGAGAUGCAAACCAGGUAAAGGUCAGUAUUGGCGCUCCAUAGCCCACAUCCCUUUCAUAUGGUUGGGAGACAAGAGAAUUCAAGCUCCGUGAUUACAACUGAUACAAGAGAAAACAGUUAGAAUCUGAAAUUGUAAUAUUCCCUUCCAGCAGACAUGUUUUCAGAGCUUGGUGCACUUCAUUGCCAUUGUAGCUGCAGAAAUCAAUAUUAAUCAGUAAAACCUUUUUACCUUCAUGAGUUCUGCAAACUAGGGCAGUAUUUUACAACGACAACAGCUUGGAGGUCAAUAUUUGAUUUGU